UGCGUAGGCGGGAAAAUAAGUUGAAUGUGAAAUACUGAGGCUCAACCUCAGGGCUGCGUUCAAAACUAUUUUUCUUGAGUGCAGUAGAGGCAAGUGGAAUUCCCAGUGUAGCGGUAAUAUGCGUAGAUAUUGGGAGGAACACCAGUGGCGAAGGCGACUUGCUGGGCUGUAACUGACGCUGAGGCACGAAAGUGUGGGGAGCAAACAGGAUUAGAUACCCUGGUAGUCCACACUGUAAACGAUGAUUGCUAGGUGUGGGGGGAUUGACCCCUUCCGUGCCGGAGUUAACACAAUAAGCAAUCCACCUGAGUAGUACGGCCGCAAGGUUGAA
This 331-nucleotide ribosomal RNA is filed under the name uncultured bacterium. RNAcentral's name for it is "bacterial SSU rRNA". It matches the Rfam family "Bacterial small subunit ribosomal RNA", at positions 568 to 898 of the family's 1533-position model. The record is from RNAcentral.